CGCGUAGGCGGCCUGUUAAGUCGAACGUGAAAUCCCUGGGCUCAACCCAGGAACUGCGUCCGAUACUGGCAGGCUUGAAUCCGGGAGAGGGAUGUGGAAUUCCAGGUGUAGCGGUGAAAUGCGUAGAUAUCUGGAGGAACACCGGUGGCGAAGGCGGCAUCCUGGACCGGUAUUGACGCUGAGGCGCGAAAGCCAGGGAGCAAACG
Molecule: ribosomal RNA, 206 nt
Filed under: uncultured bacterium
Lineage: Bacteria
Description: partial 16S ribosomal RNA
Rfam family: Bacterial small subunit ribosomal RNA
Source: RNAcentral